UUGCACUUCUCAGCUCGAGGGUUGGAUAUCUCAUCUAUCCAUACAGUUGUGAACUAUGAUGUAGCACGAGACAUUGACACACAUACACAUCGAAUUGGUAGAACAGGUCGUGCAGAUGGACCUGGCAAUGCAGAAUCCCUGGUUCAGGAAGUCCCGCUUUAAGGGAGGGAAAGGGAAGAAGCCAAAUAUUGGAGGUGGAGGCCUGGGUUACAGAGAGAGACCAGGCCUUGGAUCUGAAUCCACUGAGCGCAGUAGUAGUUGUGGUUCUCCUCUUGGUAACUAUGAAGCCUACAAAAGCUCCACUGGGGCCAUGGGAGAGCAUAUGU
Molecule: long non-coding RNA, 326 nt
Organism: Carassius auratus (goldfish)
Lineage: Eukaryota; Metazoa; Chordata; Actinopteri; Cypriniformes; Cyprinidae
Exons: 3
Source: RefSeq, a predicted model, not a curated record